AUGAUGAAGGUCGAUGGGAAAUACUGGAUAAUGA
RNAcentral lists this small RNA (34 nucleotides) under Saccharolobus islandicus HVE10/4. Its description in RNAcentral is "Sulfolobus islandicus HVE10/4 non-coding RNA". Lineage: Archaea; Thermoproteati; Thermoproteota; Thermoprotei; Sulfolobales; Sulfolobaceae. RNAcentral also lists the same sequence under 1 other name. The record is from RNAcentral.